Molecule: ribosomal RNA, 485 nt
Filed under: uncultured bacterium
Lineage: Bacteria
Description: bacterial SSU rRNA
Rfam family: Bacterial small subunit ribosomal RNA
Source: RNAcentral
GGCUCAGAACGAACGCUGGUGGCGUGUCUUAUACAUGCAAGUCGAGCGAGGCAGCAAUGCCGAGCGGCGAACGGGUGAGUAACGCGUAAGCAAUCUGCCCCAUAUCAGGAAAUACCCGUGCCAACGCGCGGUUAAUGUCCAGGAGAGUGGCCCUCCGCAUGGAGGGUUGACUAGAGAUUUAUCGGUAUGGGAUGAGCUUGCGUCCGAUUAGCUAGUUGGCGGGGCAACGGCCCACCAAGGCGACGAUCGGUAGCCGGCCUGAGAGGGUGAUCGGCCACAUUGGGACUGAGAUACGGCCCAGACUCCUACGGGAGGCAGCAGUAGGGAAUAUUGCACAAUGGGGGAAACCCUGAUGCAGCAACGCCACGUGUGGGAAGAAGCAUUUCGGUGUGUAAACCACUGUCAUGAGGGAAUAAGGCCCGUUUUCGGACGGGAUUGAAUGUACCUUGAGAGGAAGCACCGGCAAACUUCGUGCCAGCAGCAGC